AUAUACAAUAAAAUACAUCAUGACAUCAAGGCUCUUGUUUUCUAAUUUAUCUCCAUUGAUUCUUGCAGUGACGUAUAUGCUUAGCCUGAUCAAUGCACGUCUUGGUUGUGUAAUUGUUAUGGAGGCAUAUAAGUAGGUUAUAGCUAGGAGACAAAUGGCAGCGUGUACCUUGCAUCCUCGUUUGAUUUCUCAACGCUUGAAAUUUCUGGUCAAGAGAAACAAACCAUGUAAAAUGAAGAUUUACAGAAAAUCAGCAGCAGAAUUGACUUUUAUUUGUAUCUAGCUAGCAAAACAAAUU
Populus euphratica (Euphrates poplar) is the source of this 298-nucleotide long non-coding RNA. RefSeq lists it as uncharacterized. Lineage: Eukaryota; Viridiplantae; Streptophyta; Magnoliopsida; Malpighiales; Salicaceae. The record is from RefSeq and is a predicted model, not a curated record. The transcript is spliced from 2 exons.